AAGAAGAAGAAGACACUCCUUUUUAUAGUCACACACCUCAAUAACACUAUUACAACCAGCAGUUUAGCUUUCAAAAUCUGAUACUUUUCGCCGGAGCCCUUCUGAAUAUCCGUUUGCGCUCAAAUUUGACAGUUAGGCUCGGUUUUCCUUACUAAGAAAGAAUAUAUCUUAAAUUUUCAGUUUCGAUCACUUUUGGUGACCGAAAGCUCUACUGAACUAAAAUCUCUAGCAGAUAGCAGUCGUAUUUUAUUUUCCACUUCCGGGUGUCAGAAUAAUAUGAAGCUUUAAAUCUAGCCUCAUAAAAAUAAUCCUGACAUAUUUCUAGAUUUUCAUAAUUUUCUGACACUGUGCAUUUUCUGCUAAACUAUCAGUCCCGUUCCUUACAGAAAAUUUUAAAUCUUCUGUUUUCAUUCUGAUUUCAGCACGAGUCACUUCCGACUCAUAUCUUACUUCUUUAAAUCCAAUAAAAAUAGUAUCUCACACUAUUUUUAUUUACACUUAAUUUUAUAUUAAAAUCUGGUACAGUACACCGAAACAUGCUGAAACAUUCCAGAUCUAACAUAGCUUAUUUUUU
RNAcentral lists this long non-coding RNA (574 nucleotides) under Ananas comosus (pineapple). RNAcentral's name for it is "long non-coding RNA (ACOM_LNC021064)". Lineage: Eukaryota; Viridiplantae; Streptophyta; Magnoliopsida; Poales; Bromeliaceae. The record is from RNAcentral.